CACAACUAGAUUGACUCAAUCCUCAAGAAUGCCAAAUAAUCGAUGGUUUUGGAUUUAAUCCCCAAUCAAUGAACUAAGCAACCAGAAGUAUAUAAACUAAUGACCUCUUAAUUACACGAAAUAAUGAUCUCACCCAAAUAAUUGUGAACGCCACAAGAAAUAAUGAAUUCCUUGAUAAGUUCAAUUGUUCUAACGAAAACAAGGAUUGGAAGCAAAAUCGCUCAAUGGAUAGAAUCUCUCAAAUUGUCAAAAAGUCCAUUAUAAUGAAAAUAAUGUUCUAUUUAUAUGAAAAUCCUAAAAUCUAAUUAAGAACAGAAAAAAUACGUUCAAAAUAUUAAAAAGAUCAAAAUUCUAGUAAAAAUAGGAAACUCGCGAAAAUUGCAACUUUGGUCCCCAAAUUACUGCUAUGCGACCGUAUAAAAGAAAUCUAUGCAAUUUCAUAGAUCAAACCAUGACUGCAUCCAAAUUCCCUGCACCUCCUCAUGCGACUGCACAGUAUAUGUGCUAUGCAGUCGCAUAGCAUCUUCUUUGGCUCCACAAUCCGAUUGUUUGAAUUAUGUGGCUCCAAAUUAUUUUGGUCAUCAAUCCCUUCAUGUGACUUAUCACUUAACAAAUUAACUUCACUUGCUCAACCCUUAAUGUUUCUUGAAUAUCUCAAAUGUAGCUUUGGCUUCGUCCAAUCAAUCGUCAUAUCUUCAAUAAUUGGUGGCGCAUCCCAAAUCAUAUCAAACUCAUUCAAAUUUCAUCACAUCAUCUAUUGAUAAACAUAUUUGUAAUUAUAUUAUACAUGUAACAUAAUCAUCUAAAUUUUGAUUUGGUUGAAUUUUCGUUAUUUAGGCCUUGUUUCAGCCUCAUUUUUAUCUCAUUAAAAUGAAAAAUAUGAUCGUUAUCCAUCACAUCAAGCCACUAUUUUUGAAUUUCUAUAUCUUGUAUGGAGCCUAUAAAAGCUCUAAAAUUUCAUUCUCAUUCUACAAAUAAUGUGGCUCAAAUGGGCUUUUAGACUUGAAUUUGAAACUUUAAUUUGAAGAAGACUUACUCUUCUUGAAAUUUCCGGACACAAUUUUUUCUUCCCUUUUUACUUUAGACUUUUAUUUGCACAUGAAACCAUGAAUACUUCUUGAUAUGCCCAUGUUUGAAAUAAAAUAAUAUUACACCAUAUUUAAAGUUAUUUUUAUUUUUUAAAUACACAUUCUCUAUCAGUCGAUUUCAAAAUGAAUUCUAACCUAAAAAAAUGGGGCUCAAACAUGGUAGCUUAAUUUUAUUUAUAUGAAUGUGAAUAAGCAGAAAAGGAAAGAACUAGGGUUUGAACUUGGGAUGAAAUUUUUAUCAUAUCAUAGUUUUGUAAAAGUAAAGACGACCCUCCAGUGAUUUGUACCGAGGUAAAUUAUUCGAUCAAGAUGCUAGAAUUCACUUGAACAUAAAAUUCAGUUAUCAGUCCCAAAUAAAUUAAAAUUGAGAGAAAGAUAACAAAUAAAUGCAAAGUUUAGUAGCCAUCAGCAAAAUUAAUCCUUUUCACAAAACUUGAUAAGCUCUAAUAAAUUCUAAAUUUUGUCUAAUUCCUCCAAUUUAAAAACAUCUCAUUACACAAUUCACACCCAAUAUAUGUUAGUUUCUCUUUUCACAAAUCCCCCAAAGGAAAGAUAAACGGAAAUGUUGUUCUCCAACGUCCAAAUACUCCACGGAGGUAGCAAUGGAUAGCGAGAGGAACAAUUCCUUUUAAGGUUCAUUUGAAAAUACCACAUCGUGAUAAAAAGAUUUACAGUGUAGAUCCAAAAUUGAUGAAGUAGAAUUAAGAAAUAAAAUGUAAAGAAGUAGGAUGAAACAACUCAGUCCCUUAGAUGUUCAUAAUGAAUUGCGAUCAUAUUCGCAGAUCAUUACAGGUCUGUAGAGAUCAUCACCGUUGUUCCAUUAACCAUAAUUAUUGUACAAUCAAAUAAAUUUUGUAGCAAGAGCAGCACGCUCAAAUUUAAUAUAGAAAUGUAGAUGCCCCAGCGUACUUCUAAAGCAAUGAAGAGAAAAACACCUUAGGAGACAUGUAGCAAGAGCAGCACGCUCAAUUUUGCUUCAAGGGAACGAGUCGAUCGGAAAUUGAUAUCGAUUCCGCCAACCAGAUAAAGAAGCUUCUUCACAUUUCUUUUUCAAAUCGAGCGAAUAAAUUAACGAAAAGAUAUUACAAAAACGGAGAAACUUAUGGCAAGAUCUGAAAGCCCCUAAACCCUAAUUUUAUGAUGCAAUGGAAGAAAGGAGCCGUCAGGCUCCGAGUAGAUUAGGGGGAGUAACGCAAAGCUUAGUUAUAUAGAGAGGGCAAGGGAAAUCUAACGGCGUCGGUGCUUCCACAGGAGAUUUGUGGCUGAGAUUUAAGAAUGAAGAAUAUGAAUG
This 2379-nucleotide long non-coding RNA is filed under the name Olea europaea subsp. europaea. Lineage: Eukaryota; Viridiplantae; Streptophyta; Magnoliopsida; Lamiales; Oleaceae. The record is from RNAcentral.